UGAUCAAGGUGGCUGUGUCUUGUGUCCACUGCUUCAAAUCACAGCCUGCUUUGGUCAUU
RNAcentral lists this microRNA precursor (59 nucleotides) under Capitella teleta. Its description in RNAcentral is "Cte-Mir-2-o16_pre stem-loop". The record is from RNAcentral. Lineage: Eukaryota; Metazoa; Annelida; Polychaeta; Capitellidae.